AAGGAGCUUUUAGGCCCCCGGCCAUUGUCUGUGUCAGGGCCUUACUCGGCAUACGUUCGACGGUGUUGCUCAUGGGUGGAACGUUGAUUAUUCGGCACUCUUGAUCGUCUUCUCCUUCCAGUACUGUCCUUCGGGGCGUGGAACGAUGAGGGAAGCGGUGAAGGGUGUCGGGCACGCUGUUGGGUGUCUGAGGGUAUGGCCGUGAGGUUGUGUCUUCCGUGCCGGCCCCAGUGAACUCCCCCUGGAAGGGUGGGGUGGUGGGUGGUUGGUCCGUGUUUGAAAACUGGCCAAGGGACCUCAGCAUUCGU
Molecule: unclassified non-coding RNA, 308 nt
Filed under: Streptomyces turgidiscabies
Lineage: Bacteria; Bacillati; Actinomycetota; Actinomycetes; Kitasatosporales; Streptomycetaceae
Description: 16S-23S ribosomal RNA intergenic spacer
Source: RNAcentral